UGUUAGCGGCGGACGGGUGAGUAACACGUGGGUAACCUGCCUGUAAGACUGGGAUAACUCCGGGAAACCGGAGCUAAUACCGGAUAGUUCCUUGAACCGCAUGGUUCAAGGAUGAAAGACGGUUUCGGCUGUCACUUACAGAUGGACCCGCGGCGCAUUAGCUAGUUGGUGAGGUAACGGCUCACCAAGGCGACGAUGCGUAGCCGACCUGAGAGGGUGAUCGGCCACACUGGGACUGAGACACGGCCCAGACUCCUACGGGAGGCAGCAGUAGGGAAUCUUCCGCAAUGGACGAAAGUCUGACGGAGCAACGCCGCGUGAGUGAUGAAGGUUUUCGGAUCGUAAAGCUCUGUUGUUAGGGAAGAACAAGUGCAAGAGUAACUGCUUGCACCUUGACGGUACCUAACCAGAAAGCCACGGCUAACUACGUGCCAGCAGCCGCGGUAAUACGUAGGUGGCAAGCGUUGUCCGGAAUUAUUGGGCGUAAAGGGCUCGCAGGCGGUUUCUUAAGUCUGAUGUGAAAGCCCCCGGCUCAACCGGGGAGGGUCAUUGGA
Molecule: ribosomal RNA, 554 nt
Filed under: Bacillus altitudinis
Lineage: Bacteria; Bacillati; Bacillota; Bacilli; Caryophanales; Bacillaceae
Description: bacterial SSU rRNA
Rfam family: Bacterial small subunit ribosomal RNA
Source: RNAcentral